Grammomys surdaster is the source of this 250-nucleotide long non-coding RNA. RefSeq lists it as uncharacterized. NCBI's taxonomy places the organism in Eukaryota, Metazoa, Chordata, Mammalia, Rodentia, Muridae. The record is from RefSeq and is a predicted model, not a curated record. The transcript has 2 exons.
GGGUCUGAAGCUUUGAGGGAGGAGCUGAGAAGAAGACACCUUCGGACCCACCAGACUUCGGCGCUUCCCCCGAAGGGAAUCGGACAUCCUGACCCCGGGUGGGUCCUGACAACACCGCUCGAGACGUGAGGUGAGCUCUCGGAUAUUACUCCAGUACCACGCCUGUUCACCUGCUGCCGUACCUUGACAUGAAGGCCAUGGACUCUAACCUUCUCUACACUGUAAGCUCCAAAUAAACUUUCUUCUGCGA